GAAGUUUUGAUUAUGGCUCAGGAACGAACGCCUGGCGGCGUGCUUAACACAUGCAAGUCGAACGGAAAGGCCCCCACUUUUUUGGUGGGGGUGCUCGAGUGGCGAACGGGUGAGUAACACGUGGGUGAUCUGCCCUGUACUUCGGGAUAAGCUUGGGAAACUGGGUCUAAUACCGGAUAGGACCAUGGUUUAGUGUCUCAUGGUGGAAAAAUUAUUGUUUUGGUGCAGGAUGAGCUCGCGGCCUAUCAGCUUGUUGGUGGGGUAAUGGCCUACCAAGGCGUCGACGGGUAGCCGGCCUGAGAGGGUGGACGGCCACAUUGGGACUGAGAUACGGCCCAGACUCCUACGGGAGGCAGCAGUGGGGAAUAUUGCACAAUGGGCGCAAGCCUGAUGCAGCGACGCCGCGUGGGGGAUGACGGCCUUCGGGUUGUAAACUCCUUUCGUUAGGGACGAAGCCGCACCUGUUUUGGGUGUGGUGACGGUACCUUUGUUAAGAAGCACCGGCUAACUACGUGCCAGCAGCCGCGGUAAUACGUAGGGUGCGAGCGUUGUCCGGAAUUACUGGGCGUAAAGAGCUCGUAGGUGGUUUGUUGCGUCGUCUGUGAAAUUCCGGGGCUUAACUUCGGGGUGGCAGGCGAUACGGGCAUAACUAGAGUGCUGUAGGGGAGACUGGAAUUCCUGGUGUAGCGGUGGAAUGCGCAGAUAUCAGGAGGAACACCGAUGGCGAAGGCAGGUCUCUGGGCAGUAACUGACGCUGAGGAGCGAAAGCAUGGGGAGCGAACAGGAUUAGAUACCCUGGUAGUCCAUGCUGUAAACGGUGGGCGUUAGGUGUGGGGACCGGUUUGGUUUCUGUGCCGUAGCUAACGCAUUAAGCGCCCCGCCUGGGGAGUACGGCCGCAAGGCUAAAACUCAAAGGAAUUGACGGGGGCCCGCACAAGCGGCGGAGCAUGUGGAUUAAUUCGAUGCAACGCGAAGAACCUUACCUGGGUUUGACAUGCACCAGACGGUUGUAGAGAUACGUACCUCCCUUUGUGGUUGGUGUGCAGGUGGUGCAUGGUUGUCGUCAGCUCGUGUCGUGAGAUGUUGGGUUAAAGUCCCGCAAACGAGCGCGAACCCUUGUCUUAUGUUGCCAGCGACUUUGGGUGGGGACUCAUGAGAGACUGCCGGGGUUAACUCGGAGGAAAGGUGGGGAUGACGUCGAAAUCAUCGAUGCCCUUUAUGCCCGAGGGCUUCACGACAUGCUACGAAUGGUUAGUACGAACGCGCGGCGAAACCUGUGAAGGGUGAAGCGAUUCGCUGUAAAGCUAUUCUCAGUUCGGAAUUGGGGUCUGCGGACUCGACCCCAUAAGUUCGGAGUCGCGGUGAACGCGAUGCCGGCGGAUGCUGCGGUUAAGACGUUCCCGGGCCUUGCCGCACACGCCCGUCGAG
Molecule: ribosomal RNA, 1428 nt
Filed under: uncultured bacterium
Lineage: Bacteria
Description: bacterial SSU rRNA
Rfam family: Bacterial small subunit ribosomal RNA
Source: RNAcentral